AGUGAACGCUGGCGGUAGGCCUAACACAUGCAAGUCGAACGGCAGCACAGUAAGAGCUUGCUCUUACGGGUGGCGAGUGGCGGACGGGUGAGGAAUACAUCGGAAUCUACUUUUUCGUGGGGGAUAACGUAGGGAAACUUACGCUAAUACCGCAUACGACCUACGGGUGAAAGCAGGGGAUCUUCGGACCUUGCGCGAUUGAAUGAGCCGAUGUCGGAUUAGUUAGUUGGCGGGGUAAAGGCCCACCAAGGCGACGAUCCGUAGCUGGUCUGAGAGGAUGAUCGGCCACACUGGAACUGAGACACGGUCCAGACUCCUACGGGAGGCAGCAGUGGGGAAUAUUGGACAAUGGGCGCAAGCCUGAUCCAGCCAUACCGCGUGGGUGAAGAAGGCCUUCGGGUUGUAAAGCCCUUUUGUUGGGAAAGAAAAGCAGCAGGUUAAUACCCCGCUGUUCUGACGGUACCCAAAGAACAAGCACCGGCUAACUUCGUG
This 492-nucleotide ribosomal RNA is filed under the name uncultured bacterium. RNAcentral's name for it is "partial 16S ribosomal RNA". It matches the Rfam family "Bacterial small subunit ribosomal RNA", at positions 29 to 507 of the family's 1533-position model. The record is from RNAcentral.